Sarcophilus harrisii (Tasmanian devil) is the source of this 574-nucleotide long non-coding RNA. RefSeq lists it as uncharacterized. The record is from RefSeq and is a predicted model, not a curated record. The transcript is spliced from 3 exons. Lineage: Eukaryota; Metazoa; Chordata; Mammalia; Dasyuromorphia; Dasyuridae.
UUGUUUAGAUAGGAGAAAUAUCACAUGACAGAAAGAAUACAGUGAUUUAUAACAGAAGAUCUUCAAUCAAGAACUGACCCUGUCCCUGCAAUUAUGGGGUCACUGACAAAAGUAGAAGUGACUGGCAAUGGACCAGGAUGCAGUGGAUGAUCUUGGCCUUUUUCAACUAAAGUCUUUCUCAGGCAGUGAACGUCUUAACCAAGAACUCUCAAUGCUGAGGAAAUCACAAGAUGAUGAUGAUGAUGAUGAUGAUGAUGAUGAUGAUGAUGAUGAUGAUACCUAUAUUUGCAUUAUCUGUAAGAGUAAGAACUACCUCUACUGUACCUGCUUUAAAGGGUAACAUUUUUGAAGAACAGAAAUUCAGAAAGAGAAAUUCCAUAUAGAUGGCCAUGUCCUCCAGACAUUCCUCUUUACAGAGGAAAUUCUUCUGAUUUUUUCAAAUCUCAGAAUACUAAAGAAGAGAUUUCUAAAUGAGAUCAAUUUUGAUUGAAAAGAGUUCAAUUUAUCCAUAUAGGAAAAACCAAGUUGGGUAAAGAAUGUCUAUUAUCAAGGCAGGUUUAUUGAGUGGGUUGAG